GAACACGUCGCGGGAGAGCCCCGGUGCGCACGCAGUGCGAGCACCGGGCACCGAAGGAGCAAGCUCCCCGCCAAUCUCUCAGGUACGCGUACCGCGACGGACUG
Frigoribacterium sp. Leaf172 is the source of this 104-nucleotide regulatory RNA element. It matches the Rfam family "Glycine riboswitch aptamer". From Rfam's summary of the family: This family represents the bacterial glycine riboswitch. Lineage: Bacteria; Bacillati; Actinomycetota; Actinomycetes; Micrococcales; Microbacteriaceae. The record is from Rfam.